GAUGAACGCUGGCGGCGUGCUUAACACAUGCAAGUCGAACGAAGCACUUUAUUUGAUUUCCUUCGGGACUGAUUAUUUUGUGACUGAGUGGCGGACGGGUGAGUAACGCGUGGGUAACCUGCCUUGUACAGGGGGAUAACAGUUGGAAACGGCUGCUAAUACCGCAUAAGCGCACGGCAUCGCAUGAUGCAGUGUGAAAAACUCCGGUGGUAUAAGAUGGACCCGCGUCGGAUUAGCUAGUUGGUGAGGUAACGGCCCACCAAGGCGACGAUCCAUAGCCGACCUGAGAGGGUGACCGGCCACAUUGGGACUGAGACACGGCCCAAACUCCUACGGGAAGCAGCAGUGGGGAAUAUUGCACAAUGGGCGAAAGCCUGAUGCAGCGACGCCGCGUGAGCGAAGAAGUAUUUCGGUAUGUAAAGCUCUAUCAGCAGGGAAGAUAAUGACGGUACCUGACGAAGAAGCACCGGCUAAAUACGUG
This 481-nucleotide ribosomal RNA is filed under the name uncultured bacterium. Its description in RNAcentral is "partial 16S ribosomal RNA". It matches the Rfam family "Bacterial small subunit ribosomal RNA", at positions 28 to 507 of the family's 1533-position model. The record is from RNAcentral.